AUUUUUCUAGUAUAAAUCAAUACAGAUGACUUCCAAUCACCUAAUCUUGGUUAAAAUCCAAGGAAAAAUA
This 70-nucleotide transfer RNA is filed under the name Zenarchopterus buffonis (Buffon's river-garfish). RNAcentral describes it as "tRNA-Gly". It matches the Rfam family "tRNA". Rfam says of the family: Transfer RNA (tRNA) molecules are approximately 80 nucleotides in length. Their secondary structure includes four short double-helical elements and three loops (D, anti-codon, and T loops). Further hydrogen bonds mediate the characteristic L-shaped molecular structure. tRNAs have two regions of fundamental functional importance: the anti-codon, which is responsible for specific mRNA codon recognition, and the 3' end, to which the tRNAs corresponding amino acid is attached (by aminoacyl-tRNA synthetases). tRNAs cope with the degeneracy of the genetic code in two manners: having more than one tRNA (with a specific anti-codon) for a particular amino acid; and 'wobble' base-pairing, i.e. permitting non-standard base-pairing at the 3rd anti-codon position. Lineage: Eukaryota; Metazoa; Chordata; Actinopteri; Beloniformes; Zenarchopteridae. The record is from RNAcentral.